RNAcentral lists this ribosomal RNA (329 nucleotides) under uncultured eukaryote. RNAcentral describes it as "partial 18S ribosomal RNA". It matches the Rfam family "Eukaryotic small subunit ribosomal RNA", at positions 1470 to 1796 of the family's 1831-position model. The record is from RNAcentral.
CCCUUAGAUGUUCUGGGCUGCACGCGCGCUACACUGAUGCACUCAACGAGUUUACGACCUUGCCCGAUAGGGUUGGGUAAUCUUUUUAAAAUGCAUCGUGAUGGGGAUAGAUUAUUGCAAUUAUUAAUCUUCAACGAGGAAUUCCUAGUAAGCGCGAGUCAUCAGCUCGUGCUGAUUACGUCCCUGCCCUUUGUACACACCGCCCGUCGCUCCUACCGAUUGAAUGAUCCGAUGAAUAUCAUGGAUUGAGGAUGCAAGUAGGUUCACCUAUCUUCAUCUUCGAGAAGUGAAGUAAAUCUUAUCAUUUAGAGGAAGGAGAAGUCGUAACA